GAAGUCUGGCAGCGCUGCCAGACCAGUUUAGACUCUGACCUCCAGAACUGCAAGAUAAUAGAAGACUCCUCUGCUAUGAAUUUCCACAUAUUUUGGAUGAAGAAUUUGAAGGUCUCUUUGAGAUACCUCAACUCUAAAGGAGAUCUCUCUCUACUCUGCCUUCUCAGAAUGGCCCACAUCCAAUGAUUGACCAAUGGGGAAAUAUAAAGAUGAAGGCUCUACAUCAAACUCAUGACAACUCUGAUGGUCCAUUGCAAUUCCAUUGUAUCCUGAGAGGUGAUAUUCUGAAGACUGCAUGGUGUUUAUUACUUUAAAGUUUGUGUGUCUUAUCAUCUAAAUUAACGUGAUUUUCUUGAAGUUUUGAUUUGCAAUAUGGUUCCCACUCUGACUCUUCUGGAUAUUCUUUCAUCUUUGCACUGCAAUGCACAGGUGCCAGCUUAUCUUCCUCUUAAGGGUGAUUAAUGAAAUGCCGUAAAUCCUCUUAGGCACUGAUAAAUAGUAACAUAUGCUUCACAUCUUGUGGCAUCAGAGCAUUAGAGCGGACCACUAGCUCAAAGAAACUGGACCAUUCACCAAAUGUGCCUGCACUCAGAAGCCUGCACUAUAGUAUUUAUAGGUCAUAAAGAGAUGCCUAACUCUGAGAUAUAUAUUUUUAUUCUGCAAUGGUUCUGUAUUGAUGAAAUUCCUUUGAAGAAAAUUGCAUAAAGAAAAUGAAUAAGAAUAAAUGCAAG
RNAcentral lists this long non-coding RNA (731 nucleotides) under Equus caballus (horse). Its description in RNAcentral is "lncRNA (ENSECAG00000054032.1)". The record is from RNAcentral. Lineage: Eukaryota; Metazoa; Chordata; Mammalia; Perissodactyla; Equidae.